UUUAUUAAAAACAUGGCCUUUUGAGUAUUAUUUAAGGUCUAGCCUGCCCAAUGAGGAGUUUAAUGGCCGCGGUAUAUUAACCGUGCAAAGGUAGCAUAAUCAUUAGUUUUUUAAUUGAAAGCUGGAAUGAAAGGUUGAAUGAAAAAGUGACUGUCUCUAUUUAAAAUUAAAGAAUUUUAUUUUUAAGUAAAAAAGCUUAAAUAUGUAUAAAAGACGAGAAGACCCUAUAGAGUUUUAUAAUUAUUGUAUUUAUAUUUUUUAGAAUUUUAAAUUAUAAUUAUUAUAUUUAUUUGAUUGGGGUGAUUGAAAAAUUAAUUUAACUUUUUUUGUAUUUUAUCAUUAAUGUGUGAUUAAUUGAUCCUGAUAUUCAGAUUAUAAGAUUAAAUUACCUUAGGGAUAACAGCGUAAUUUUUUUUGAGAGUUCGAAUUGAAAAAAGAGAUUGCGACCUCGAUGUUGGAUUAAAAUUUAUUUUUGGUGUAGAAGCUAAAAAAUUAGGUCUGUUCGACCUUUAAAAUUUUACAUGAUCUGAGUUUAAACCGGUGUAAGCCAGGU
This 553-nucleotide ribosomal RNA is filed under the name Lepidimerodes sp. ARC3520. RNAcentral's name for it is "partial 16S ribosomal RNA". It matches the Rfam family "Bacterial large subunit ribosomal RNA", at positions 1803 to 2631 of the family's 2925-position model. Lineage: Eukaryota; Metazoa; Arthropoda; Insecta; Coleoptera; Curculionidae. The record is from RNAcentral.